RNAcentral lists this long non-coding RNA (577 nucleotides) under Homo sapiens (human). RNAcentral's name for it is "non-protein coding lnc-ARFIP1-1:7". The record is from RNAcentral. Lineage: Eukaryota; Metazoa; Chordata; Mammalia; Primates; Hominidae.
GCAAAAGAGAAGUUGCUGUUGAAGCACUGGUUCUAUUAUCACGCCUCUCCAGCCCUUUGGAGUCCCGGCCUCCAGCUUUUGAAACCGUCCCCGGGGCAACAGAGUCCCUUGCUCAGAUGUCGUUCGGUAUCUGGGACUGGGAGGGGUCCUGGACCACACGCAUUCUCACUCUGUGAUUUUGCUUAUCCCCCAGAUCACCAUCUGAGUCAUGACUUCCCGUCGUUUGUCUUCAGUGAUCUGGUUGGUGCAAACGUAUGAGGUGACAAUACAGAACAAACAGCAGGAGAAAAUAGACGUGCUCAAAACUGGGUGAUUGAUUUGAAAACAACAGAGAAAGAACUAUUAAUUAAACACUUGCUGAGCAUGUGAAUAGAUCACGGGCUCCAAGACCUGCUGGUACUGAGUUGGGGUGGCAAUUAUUCCUGUACAAGCACGUGUUUCUGCAGCUGUGACACACACGUGCAAGAAAGCAGGCCCAGGGCUUGGGAGUUCUCUCCAUUUUACCAUUUAUGCCCUAUUAAAAUAUUAUUAAAUGUUAUUAAAACAUUGUUGAAUCCCAGGCUGGAGGCAAAUGUUU